Molecule: ribosomal RNA, 1408 nt
Filed under: uncultured organism
Description: SSU rRNA
Rfam family: Bacterial small subunit ribosomal RNA
Source: RNAcentral
ACAUGCAAGUCGAGCGAGCGAUGGAUAGCUUGCUUUCCAGAUCGAGUGGCGAACGGGUGAGUAACGCGUGAGGAACCUGCCUCAAAGAGGGGGACAACAGUUGGAAACGACUGCUAAUACCGCAUAAGCCCACGGCUCGGCAUCGAGCAGAGGGAAAAGGAGUGAUCCGCUUUGAGAUGGCCUCGCGUCCGAUUAGCUAGUUGGUGAGGUAACGGCCCACCAAGGCGACGAUCGGUAGCCGGACUGAGAGGUUGAACGGCCACAUUGGGACUGACACACGGCCCACACUCCUACGGAAGGCAGCAGUGGGGAAUAUUGCACAAUGGGGGAAACCCUGAUGCAACGACGCCGCGUGGAGGAAGAAGGUCUUCGGAUUGUAAACUCCUGUUGUUGAGGAAGAUAAUGACGGUACUCAACAAGGAAGUGACGGCUAACUACAUGCCAGCAGCCGCGGUAAAACUGUAGGUCACAAGCGUUGUCCGGAAUUACUGGGUGUAAAGGGAGCGCACGCGGGAGAACAAGUUGGAAGUGAAAUCCAUGGGCUCAACCCAUGAACUGCUUUCAAAACUGUUUUUCUUGAGGAAUGCAUAGGUACGCGCAAUUCCCGGUGUAGCGGUGGACUGCGUAGAUAUCGGGAGGAACACCAGUGGUGAAAGCAGCCUACUGGGCACCAACUGACGUUGUGGCUCGAAAGUGUGGGUAGCAAACAGGAUUAGAUACCCUGGUAGUCCACACUGUAAACGAUGAUUAGUAGGUGUUGGAGGAUUGACCCCUUCAGUGCCGCAGUUAACACAAUAAGUAAUCCACAUGGGGAGUACGGCCGCAAGGUUGAAACUCAAAGGAAUUGACGGGGGCCCGCACAAGCAGUGGAGUAUGUGGUUUAAUUAGACGCAACGCGAAGAACCUUACCAAGUCUUGACAUCCCUUGACGAACAUAGAAAUAUGUUUUCUCUUCGGAGCAAGGAGACAGGUGGUGCAUGGUUGUUGUCAGCUCGUGUGGUGAGAUGUUGGGUUAAGUCACGCAUCGAGCGCAACCCUUAUGGUCAGUUACUACGCAAGAGGACUCUGGCCAGAUUGCCGUUGACAAAACGGAGGAAGGUGGGGAUGACGUCAAAUCAUCAUGCCCUUUAUGACUUGGGGUACACACGUACUACAAUGGCGUUAAACAAAGAGAAGCAAGACCGCGAGGUGGAGCAAAACUCAGAAACAACGUCCCAGUUUGGAUUGCAGGUUGCAACUCGCCUGCAGGAAGUCGGAAUUGCUAGUAAUCGUGGAUCAGCAUGCCACGGUGAAUACGUUCCCGGGCCUUGUACACACCGCCCGUCACACCAUGAGAGCCGGGGGGACCAGAAGUCGGUAGUCUAACCGUAAGGAGGACGCCGCCGAAGGUAAAACUGGUGAUUGGGGU